GGCAUUAUAGAACAUGUAAAUUGUGCUUUUUAUUCCAGUUAGCACUUUAGCAUUAGCUUCUGCUAAAUACUUUGUUGGCGUAGCAGCUUAGAAUUAGCAGAAGUAAUGAUAAUGAUUAGCGCUUUAGAGUUAGCGCAGCUAUCUGUUUAGCUAGCGGUGCCCACCACUGCCAGUGUGGAGAAAUGGAGAAGCUGAGUGAAUGUGGAGCAGAGGUCAUCAGGAUAACUGCUGGUCCAACGCCGGGUUCACAGCGCCAAGCUGCUUCACUUCUGACUGGACUUCAACAUGGAAACGUCACCAACGGCUGGAGGACCGGCAGAACGGUUCUGAGCGGCCCGGUGGCGUUAGCUUAAUGCUCUCUAGCCUGGAUGCUGGCUAGAGAGCAUCAAGCAGCAGGUGACCAAUCAUGAUGUGAUGUAUGACAUCAUCUUUAGGGGUCGUCACAUCUCAGCCUGACCUUAGUAUCGCCCACUUUAGCCGAUCCAUGACGGGUUCAGAAGUUUUCACUUUCCUGUCUGGUCUGAAAGCUUGGCUCUUCUUCACCGCAGUUCUGGUGAAACGCAGGUUCUGGCACGUUUCACCAGAACCCGUCCGGAUCAGGAGACCCGGGUUGGUUUGGCCUGAAUCCGUCCGGACCAGGAGACCCGGGUUGGUUUGGCCUGAACCCGUCCAGACCAGGAGACCCGGGUUGGUUUGGCCUGAACCCGUCCAGACCAGGAGACCCGGGUUGGUUUGGUAACCAGCAGCUAGCCAGAAGACGACCGCCUGCUUCCUCAGCCAAUCCCUGAUCGUCUCCAAAGUGUUGCGGUUUUCUGGGAUGGAGAUGAUCGGUGAACGUUUCCCAGCGGUUUGAAAAUCAGAAAUGUUCUGUUUGUACUUUAGUUGUUUUCAGAUCCUGGUUGGUUAGGAAUCUGUCAGCUGGUUGUUAGCACUAAGCCAAACUGAUUUAAGGUUUUAUUGGAAGUUUUCCUUUAAGGAAGGUUUCCCGUCAGCGACUCCCUCGGUGUGUUUCUGCAGAGGGAGCGUCCGUUUGUCCCACCGUCCCUGAAGAACCUGGUGAUUUCAUGGACUGCUGCUGUGGAGAUUGUCGAUGCAUGCCUGAUAUGUUCGAUGUUGAAACUGAAUCAGAAAAAAAGUUGAAAAUAAUGAAAUUGUCGAAGCACAGCUGAUUCCACAUGUCUGCUCUGAAAUGUAACGUUCUUUUCUUUGGUUCCUGUUCUUCACUGUUGGUUCCUCCGAUACUUUCUGCAGAACUUGGAUUUUCCCGGAGAAGCUCUGGGAAACAGGAAGUUGAGUAUAUAUAUUUAAAAAGAAAGCAUGUAUGUUUUCUACUGUUUGUACCUGGUAUUUUCCUGUUGCCCUUGCUGCUUCUGUGCCAAUGUUGUGGGAGAGAUUUACAUUUGGCCACUCAUGCAACUAUUCUGUGGUGUUGUCUGAGAAUGUAUUAACAUGAAAUAAAAGCAUUUGUUAUUUUUUCUA
Long non-coding RNA from Xiphophorus hellerii (green swordtail), 1479 nucleotides. RefSeq lists it as uncharacterized. The record is from RefSeq and is a predicted model, not a curated record. The transcript is spliced from 2 exons. Lineage: Eukaryota; Metazoa; Chordata; Actinopteri; Cyprinodontiformes; Poeciliidae.